This 250-nucleotide ribosomal RNA is filed under the name uncultured bacterium. RNAcentral's name for it is "partial 16S ribosomal RNA". It matches the Rfam family "Bacterial small subunit ribosomal RNA", at positions 524 to 773 of the family's 1533-position model. The record is from RNAcentral.
UACAGAGGGUGCGAGCGUUUAUCGGAAUUACUGGGCGUAAAGGGUGCGUAGGUGGUUCGAUAAGUCAGAUGUGAAAUCCCUGGGCUUAACCUGGGAAUUGCAUUUGAUACUGUCAAACUAGAGUGUGGUAGAGGUAAGCGGAAUUCCCGGUGUAGCGGUGAAAUGCGUAGAUAUCGGGAGGAACAUCAGUGGCGAAGGCGGCUUACUGGACCAACACUGACACUGAGGCACGAAAGCGUGGGUAGCAAAC